This 335-nucleotide ribosomal RNA is filed under the name uncultured bacterium. RNAcentral's name for it is "bacterial SSU rRNA". It matches the Rfam family "Bacterial small subunit ribosomal RNA", at positions 1 to 334 of the family's 1533-position model. The record is from RNAcentral.
CGCGAGUAUUCAGAGUUUGAUCCUGGCUCAGGAUGAACGCUAGCGGGAGGCCUAACACAUGCAAGCCGAGCGGUAUUGUUUCUUCGGAAAUGAGAGAGCGGCGUACGGGUGCGGAACACGUGUGCAACCUGCCUUUAUCUGGGGGAUAGCCUUUCGAAAGGAAGAUUAAUACUCCAUAAUAUAUUGAACGGCAUCGUUUAAUAUUGAAAGCUCCGGCGGAUAGAGAUGGGCACGCGCAAGAUUAGCUAGUUGGUGAGGUAACGGCUCACCAAGGCGAUGAUCUUUAGGGGGCCUGAGAGGGUGAUCCCCCACACUGGUACUGAGACACGGACCAG